GGGUGUAAUUUCACCCAUCUCUGCAGUGACAUUUCCCAUCCUUCAGGACAGCAGAGGUGAAACUCCUCUUUCAGCAGCACAAUUUCAGGAAUAACUAUCCUGAAUUACAAGGAUAGUGAAUUGGAACACAUCCUUUAGAAAGAUGCCUAAUCCCAUUUUUAAAGCUCUGAGUGAUGGCUUCAGCUGCCAUGCAGCCUCCGAGUCCUGAUGCUGUUUUCUGUGAUAGACGCCCAGUGCAUGCACCAGUGAGUCCUGCUGAGGGCUGGGCUGCUGUGUGAGGCUCCUCUGGGGGCUGAUGCUCAGAGGCUGAUAUCAUCGUGCUGGAACCAGGCUUUGUGGCGACAUGCCUCUCCCUCCCUCCAGCAUCCAGCUCACCCUGGCCACAUGUGCAGCCCAGGCCACGACCUCGGCCUUGGCUGGGCUCUGACGCCCAUUUAACAGUCAGAGGCUGGAAAGGGAGUUGCUGCUGUGCUAUUUUUAACCAGCUGGACAGUUAAAUAAUUCAGAGGCAGACACACACAGAGUGGUCUGGGCUGUGUGUGGAUCUGAGAGGGAACAAGAGCAUUGUAUCAACCCUGCUGGGCUUGCUUAACCUCAUCAAGCAUGGGUUCUCAGGCUCUUUAAUACAAACAUGAAACAAAAACUAAACUUUCAGAAGUAAAAUCCCUGCCUUACUGGCGUCAAUGGGACUCCUGGCUCUGAGUGCAAUGGAGCCUGGAUCACACUUAGCUGCAAGGCAAGAGCUGUUCAGUAUUUCCUUGCUUUCUAAUGCUGCAUAAUUUUUUUUC
RNAcentral lists this long non-coding RNA (788 nucleotides) under Parus major (Great Tit). RNAcentral's name for it is "lncRNA (ENSPMJG00000014160.1)". Lineage: Eukaryota; Metazoa; Chordata; Aves; Passeriformes; Paridae. The record is from RNAcentral.